Non-coding RNA from Ceratotherium simum simum (southern white rhinoceros), 118 nucleotides. NCBI's taxonomy places the organism in Eukaryota, Metazoa, Chordata, Mammalia, Perissodactyla, Rhinocerotidae. The record is from RefSeq and is a predicted model, not a curated record.
AUUAUAUCUGCCAAGACCCUUUUUCCACAUAAGGUCACAUUUACUGGUACUGUGGGUUAGGACUUGGAUGUAUCUUUUGGGGGCCCACAGUUCAACCCAUUAUGUGUACAAAAACCUC